AAUGGUGGUCAAAUAUUUAUGGUAAAUCAGUGUUGUAAACUCCCCAAAAGUUCAGCCAGACAACUGGUCUGGUAACUCUCAAAGGUUACCAGACCGGUUGGAA
This is a long non-coding RNA of Haliotis rubra (blacklip abalone), 103 nucleotides long. RefSeq lists it as uncharacterized. The record is from RefSeq and is a predicted model, not a curated record. The transcript has 3 exons. Lineage: Eukaryota; Metazoa; Mollusca; Gastropoda; Lepetellida; Haliotidae.